Molecule: ribosomal RNA, 273 nt
Filed under: uncultured Staphylococcus sp.
Lineage: Bacteria; Bacillati; Bacillota; Bacilli; Caryophanales; Staphylococcaceae
Description: partial 16S ribosomal RNA
Rfam family: Bacterial small subunit ribosomal RNA
Source: RNAcentral
ACGUUAGCGGCGGACGGGUGAGUAACACGUGGGUAACCUACCUAUAAGACUGGGAUAACUUCGGGAAACCGGAGCUAAUACCGGAUAAUAUUUCGAACCGCAUGGUUCGAUAGUGAAAGAUGGUUUUGCUAUCACUUAUAGAUGGACCUGCGCCGUAUUAGCUAGUUGGUAAGGUAACGGCUUACCAAGGCGACGAUACGUAGCCGACCUGAGAGGGUGAUCGGCAACACUGGAACUGAGACACGGUCCAGACUCCUACGGGAGGCAGCAGCG